UUCCGGAUGGUGAAAUGGUAUCACUACGGGUUUUGGUCCCGUCAUUCUAGGUUCGAGUCCUAGUCCGGAAACCA
This 74-nucleotide transfer RNA is filed under the name Candidatus Avelusimicrobium gallicola. Its description in RNAcentral is "tRNA-Gln". It matches the Rfam family "tRNA". Rfam says of the family: Transfer RNA (tRNA) molecules are approximately 80 nucleotides in length. Their secondary structure includes four short double-helical elements and three loops (D, anti-codon, and T loops). Further hydrogen bonds mediate the characteristic L-shaped molecular structure. tRNAs have two regions of fundamental functional importance: the anti-codon, which is responsible for specific mRNA codon recognition, and the 3' end, to which the tRNAs corresponding amino acid is attached (by aminoacyl-tRNA synthetases). tRNAs cope with the degeneracy of the genetic code in two manners: having more than one tRNA (with a specific anti-codon) for a particular amino acid; and 'wobble' base-pairing, i.e. permitting non-standard base-pairing at the 3rd anti-codon position. Lineage: Bacteria; Pseudomonadati; Elusimicrobiota; Elusimicrobia; Elusimicrobiales; Elusimicrobiaceae. The record is from RNAcentral.